RNAcentral lists this ribosomal RNA (254 nucleotides) under uncultured bacterium. Its description in RNAcentral is "partial 16S ribosomal RNA". It matches the Rfam family "Bacterial small subunit ribosomal RNA", at positions 524 to 776 of the family's 1533-position model. The record is from RNAcentral.
UACGAAGGGGGCUAGCGUUGUUCGGAAUCACUGGGCGUAAAGCGUAUGCAGGCGGACCGUUAAGUCGGGGGUGAAAUCCCAGGGCUCAACCCUGGAACUGCCUUCGAUACUGGCGGCCUUCGAGUCCGGGAGAGGUGAGUGGAACUCCGAGUGUAGAGGUGAAAUUCGUAGAUAUUCGGAAGAACACCAGUGGCGAAGGCGGCUCACUGGCCCGGUACUGACGUUGAGGCACGAAAGCGUGGGGAGCAAACAGG